UCACCUGUCUCUUAUGUUUGCAACUUUGUCUUCUCCUAGCUAGAACAUCAUUACAGUUAGAAAGCCCUCUCAUCCCUGCAGAACAGUGAACAUGAACAAACUGGACGAUUAUAUAAAAGACAUAUUUCUUAGACCCACUAUAUACGGAGAGCAUCGACAGGCAAUCAUAAUAAUUAUAUUCGGAUACAAAAUAGACAGAGCAACAAAUAUGGAUAUUUCCAUGAAGUUGGAAAGAGAUGUGUACAAAUAUUAUGUGUACACUACCAACUUGAGUAUCAGAAUCAAAUGUGGAUCCGAACCCACUGCAAACAAACAACUUUCACAUUCUAGUCUGCACAACAAUUCAGUCACUCAAAUCUAUGCUAUAGUUGCAGGCUACAACAUAACUACAACCACUUAAGAAAACUGGAGUAGGGCACCAAGAUGUGGGUUACCUGAAGCGGAAAAGCUAGGAGGAGGGAGCACGACCAUGCCAACCCGAAGUCUGCCUCUGCAAGCUGCACACUGCCAUGUUGUGGAGCAGCAGGAUGAGCAUCUCGUUGUGGACGGUGGCGACAGCACCGCAGAUGGCUGGACAUCCUCUCCUCUCUCUCUUGCCAGCGCACCUUCUACCGCGUCCAAAGGAACG
This 628-nucleotide long non-coding RNA is filed under the name Triticum aestivum (bread wheat). RNAcentral's name for it is "long non-coding RNA (TAES_LNC003762)". Lineage: Eukaryota; Viridiplantae; Streptophyta; Magnoliopsida; Poales; Poaceae. The record is from RNAcentral.